GCAAAGUACCGUGGGGACUGUAGUAGUCCUCUUCUGAGAACCAGGUAUAUCCACUACAUGAUGUUAUGAUGUGGAAUACCAAUAACCGAAAAUCACAAAACCAUGACAGUUGGCUAGGUGUGCUGGUACAAAAAGGGAAAGGUCAGCUGCUGUAAGUGCCCUGGCAAGAAGGGAUAGGGGGAGCAAGGGGGGAGACCUGUGUUCUGGCAGAAGGAGAUCAUCCAGAGGCUAUGAGGGAGAAUGAUCCAUUGAAGUCAUUCUCCUUAAAUGAGUGUAGUACUUCUCUGCUCAUGGAAAAAAAGGCUAUUGUGUUGAUGUGGGAUGCUGAUGCGGAUGGUGAUUCAGAGUGGGAAGUUGUGGAAGUGCUCUGAAGAAUCCUCUGGAUGAGCCAGUACCUGUAGUGAUGGCAAAGAAGGCCUCGGGAUUUUGCCUCCCUCCACGGAGGUUAGUCUGUGAAAAAUUCAGAUUUGUAAUUGAGUUCUAUUUUGAUCCUUUCUGAAGAUGUCUCAUACAACCUUUUCUCAAAAUUUGAGCUCAUAAACUCCAGCCAAGGCAAUUUUCUUGUCUAAACAGUCUGUUUUUAUGAUUGCAUUCAUUAUAGUUUAAGAAUUGUCAUGUUUGGAGAGAGCAGGAUCCAAAUCUCACGGGCUCCUUCCUUUGGCAUUGUUUAGGAGAGAUGCUUAUGGAAGACCAUAGGAAUGGAGCACCCUCAGAGUGAAGGACCUUGGCAUUCCCUUCUGUUGAUCAGUGCUUCAGAAACUUCUGGAGCUGAAGUGGUGUGAGUGGCGAGCCACAAAGUUGUUGACACUUCAUGUACCCAAGGAGCAGCCAAGGUCCAGAUACACGUGGCCCUGCCUGAACAGAGAAAUAUAGAGAGAGGAAAAAACACUGUGUUUGGUCUGUCAGGCAGACACUGGAUAUUUUGCUACCCUAAUCAUCAGAGUCGCAAGUUUCUUUGGAGCAUCUCCACUGUUUUUAUUGGAGUCACUCAAUGUUUCCACUGGAGAGACUGGUAACAAGAAUCGAGCCUCAGACCUUUUUUCAGUGAGUAAUCCAGAAGCAUCCUCACAUCCUGUCUUUUCACGGAGAGUUUUUUCCCUGUUCUGACCAGAGCUAAGAGGAAAACAGAACUCAAACAGGUGGGAUUACCAUAUCUUUAUCUUGUAAUUGACACAGAGAUCGUGGGCUGUAUUUGACAAAUGAUGUGUAAAGCCAUCGUGCCAUUCGAAGUGAGAUUCAAGUGGAAGUUAGCAAAGAAAGUGUUUGUAUUUAGCAGCAGGAAAAACGUAGUGGAAUGUUUCCAGGUAUUUUGAUGGAAAGAAAAAAACAGAAGGAAAGAAUAAUGGAAAACAUAUAGGCAAAGGGUGAACAAGAGGAACUGAAAAAACUGAUCGUGGUACAGUAACCCAAUGUCAUUUUUAGAUAGGUCACAAGGUAGAGUAACCUCAGACUAAGCAUUCAUAAAGCGCAAAGUGAGAGAACGUGUCUUCUGUGGCCACAGGCCUCAGAUGUGCAAACCCAAGUCAGACCCUGGGCAAGGAGUUCUCCCAGGAAGCUAUUGAGGGCAGCCACAGCAGAAAAUGUGAGGAUUCACUAGGCACCCUCUGCACUCUUGUUCUGCAGUGCCUUUCUGUAUUGUCCCUUCCCUGUCCAUGCUCUAAGCAGAGGUUGCAGCACAGAGCUGAUGGCCAUGCACCUGUCAGCACACAACCCAAUCUCACAGUGGGAUUCUCACAGCUGUGUUGGACAAGCAGGUGGAGUGGACAAGAUGAUGGCUUUCAGUUGGAUGGUGGGAUGGAGAGCAGAGCAGGGACACGAACGUGAGGGGACCCAGCAGAGGCUGUCAGAAGGGAGCAAUUCGUAAAUUCUUUAGAGUAGCACCCCUAACUCAGUCGGGAGAGAAAAAACACUGAAAGGGGUGGGUGGGUGGCUGGCAGUAAAGCCUCUGUCUCCAGCUGAGUCCUCCUUUGUCUGGAAAUAAAAUCAGUCCUUGGGAGCUGAGACAUUUGCAGUGAAGACCCUGAUCAGUCCCCAGCCUGAGUAAUGCAGAAGAUGCAAAACUGAUUCACUGAUUGGAUUAAAAAAGAACAUAUUAUUUAGGAAGCAGCCUUCCUACAUGCUGUCCAUCCUAUGCAGCACUGCUUAUCCUAAAUACUCCAUUCUGAUAAGUCAACAGAUUAAAAAGAAGAAAAGACACUUUAUUAACAAACAAACAAAAAACCCACUUCUGUAGAGAGACAGAUGAAUGUCAUGACAGAUUUAUACAAAUUUUAAAGCCUGAACAUUAUCUUCCAAGGGAAAAAAUCUUCUAAAUACAAAUUCAAAACAAAAAAUGGCAGAGGAGAAUCUCUGACAACGAAUUGCACAGAAUCACUUAUUAGGCCUCUGUAAGUGAUCAUUUACAUGAAACUUGCAUUUCAUCCAGUAUUCAGCUCUUCCCUUUUAUCUUCUGGUUCCAUGUGUUUGUGGGGAGCAGUGGUCCCUCAUCCUGUCUCAUCUCCCUGCCUGUAUUGAGACAGUAGUAUGGCCCUUUUGGGUCGAAACACAGGGGAGCAGUCUGUAGGAUACAAUGUUGUCUGGGGUGCACAGAAAUACUGGCUUCAUUACACUGCAUGGGUGUAACUUUUUCAGACGUUAGCAGUGGCAUGUGGGCUAAAUACAUAAAUUAUUUACGUGCACUGCUAUUACUAAAGCACCUAAGCAAAGUAAUUCAGAACUAGUCCCAUGAAUCUGUGGCAUCACUGAAGUUAUUACACUGUAAAUUCAGCUUCAUAUCCUGAAUUUCUGCUGAGAUGUUGCACGCCUGGCAUGUAAAGCCGUCUCUUGCCCUGCUCCAAGGAGUGGCCUGCUCAGGGAAGUUGGCCUUCCAGUUCUCUCCCUUCUCACGAGAACGUGGGUCAUUGCUUCUCCCAGCCAUGCUGACACCUCAUGACAUGUAGGGGCUGUGGGCAGAGGUAUAAGCCUUGCUUUGGAGAUCUCCAAAAAUCCAAGUGCUUCUUUCUACAUGUAUCCCCGCAUGGUGCAUGCCCAGCUGCCCUGCCAGUCUGCAGCUCUGAUUUCAGUGAGUGACAAGCAAAGGCAUUUCAAAUUGAAAGGAGGUAUUUAAAUACUGUCAAGAACAGCAGAUAAAAUGACCUCAAACAAUCCCACAUAAAGUCCUUUGUUAUUUUCAAAGCACUUUCCCAGCUUGACACCUUUGCUUUUUCAUAUCCAAUAUAAAAUUCAAAAUGUUUUAUUCCAAUGCAGUCCAUGAAUAUAUAAUAUAAAUAUAUCAAACCUCACACUGCCUUUUUUGUGCUGCUGCUUUGAAAAAGGACCUGAAGUAAACUCAGCAUAAAGAUCAAGAAAAUUAUUUAGACAAUCCCACUUCUCAAAUUUUUGUUCCCCUUUGUCUUGCUCUCGUUGAGAACAACUUCUCUCCAGCAGGCGUGCAUACGGGAGGAAGGAGCUGCCUGGAUCCAGAGGGUUCUGUGGACUACAGCACAGAGGUGCCUGCAGAUACGUUUGCUGAGCCAUUUCAGGAACAAAUUUUGACAUUCUUCAUCUUAAAACUCCACUGGAGGUCAUGAAGAGUUUGAAAUCUAGAAGGAUCCAGACAUGGAGCUCCGCGCCUGGUUCACACAGAUAGGAUGAACUUGGAAAAAGACUUCAUGAAGCACGUGCCCUUUCAGCCAGGACACCGCCCUGUGAUAAGCCCUAUGUAUCAGUGAAACCGUGCUCCAUGAACGUCUGUGCGAAGGUUCAGAGCCCUAAUUUGAAUUUUUGGGUUUGUUUGUGUUUCAAAAGCAAAGCCACUGAACUGCAUCUUGAAAAACAUACUCCAGCACAGGUUUCCUCCAAACACAGCCAAGGUUUGAUCAAAAGGUUGUCAGGUUUGCGGCCCUUCUGACAAACCUGAUGAAUGUUUGCACUUGCAAAGUAAACCCCAAACCAAGGGAAUUUGCAUGGGCUUGCCAUGGAUAUUUCUUUUUUCCAGUUCUUGCCAAAAUCCCAUCUCUGCCCUGGGACUGGGCUUUGGCAGCCGGCAUUCUGCUAUUUGUAUUGAUAUACCUGCCAGCAGGCACAAAAACCAAAUACCUACACCCAGACAAAAUAUCUGGCUGUGUUUGUAAAGCCCCAAAUAAGAAGCUACGUUGUGUUUCGGUUCGAUGGCAGUGCCCGUCUGUAUGGAUCAGGCCGCGUGGCGUUCACUUGUCCAAAACACUGAGUUAAUCCCUUCUGCAUGGAGAAAUACAUUUUAAUUAUGGAGCAAUAAAUACAGUGUCUCUUUUUGCUGGGCGCGUUUUCUAUCAGCAGACAAAAGAUGACAUUUGUUUCGCUGAUAGCCUGAUGUUCCCCCACCGCCGCUGCUGAAUUUCCCUUGCCCAAGGAAAUUGAAAGGAUCAGAGCACAUCUGAUGUUCCAUUAAUUUAAAGCGGCUGCCAGGACUUGCAUAUUGUAGCAGCUUUAAAGUGAUUGAAUUUGGAUUAUUUCAAACUCUGCAAAGUCCUGCCUCGCCCGGCUGAGGCAUAUCGAGUGACAACAUAAAAUAUGAGCCCGGCUGAGGGAUAUCUGCGAGCACACACGUUCUCCCUGCGCACGCAGCCCUGCAACAGGCGGAUUGGAGGCGAUGGAACACGCAGCAUUGGGACUGUUUUGGUUGCUCAGUGGCAGCAGCGCAGCGAGGUGGGGACACCUGGUGUCCAGCACUGAGGGGGCAUGGGCCGGGGCUGCGCCAGGUGCAGUGCCUUUGGGACCAGCAGCCACGCAGCGCCGCGUGUACCUUGCAAAGGGAAUAGGGGAGUUCAGCUCCAAAAGAAACGUUGGGGCUGCCAAGGCCCAAUUAGACAUAAACCCACAGUAUUAUCGCCAUCCAUCACUGCCCUGCUUUCAGUGACCAUGCAGAAGGAGCGGCUUCCAAGUGUUGGGGUGGUUGUUGCUGUCAGAGCGGUGGGGCUCCCAAAUGCAGGGCAGAACUUGGGCUCGGCGCGCUUUGGUAGAGCCCUGCCCAAAAAACCUGAAAAAUCAUCUGAAUGAAUCACAAAACGUAUGUUAUGUUUAGCUGUAAAAGCCAUGGAGUAUGUGCAGCGCUCCAUUAUGGGGACUGCUCGGCUUUUCAUGCAUUCCUAAAUUACCAUGUAAUCUAAAACCUUGUUUUCAGCUGCUCUAUAUUGGAAAGUCCCUUGCAAUAAUCAAGAUGAUUACAGACUGGUGCGGAGAACAAAACGUGUUUGUGUUAUUGCAACCACAAAUGCAGUUUAUCAGAAAUUUUACCUUUUCGAGGGAAAAAUAAAGAUAAUAAUAAACUCUUUUUCCCUUGCUGGAAAUAUUUUAAGCGUGGAAUUAAUUUUGGCUGCUCUGCAACUUAAAAGCACAUGGAUACUCGGUGUAAAAAUAUGCUCCUUUCCUGCAGGGACUUGACUCUAAUUGGUGUGCCAAAACUAUCUCACAGAGAUUUCAUUGUCUUAUCUACUUACAUCAUCUUAAUGCGAUUUUAUUUUACUUUGUCAAAGUCAUAUUAAUGUAAAUGUGUUCUUGAUAGCAAACAGAGUUCUUUUUUAUGCUAAACGGGAUUCAGCUGCCUCCAAUAAAACAGCUUGCAAUCCAUUAGGCUAUAACUGUAAUAUAGUUAUUUUGUUUCUCAAAUAAAGACUGUGUCAGAAAGCUGUA
Molecule: long non-coding RNA, 5649 nt
Organism: Numida meleagris (helmeted guineafowl)
Lineage: Eukaryota; Metazoa; Chordata; Aves; Galliformes; Numididae
Exons: 6
Source: RefSeq, a predicted model, not a curated record